GACGAACGCUGGCGGCGUGCUUAACACAUGCCAGUCGAACGGGCCUGUCUUCUUUUUUGGGGGGUGGGUUGAGUGGCGAACGGGUGAGUAUCACGUGAGUAACCUGCCCUUCGGUCCUGGAUAACCGCUUGAAAGGGCGGCUAAUACGGGGUGGUCCGGUUGGUCCGCAUGGGCUGGUCGGGAUAGAUUCACUGUUUUUGGUGUUUCGGCGGGGGAUGGGCUCGCGGCCUAUCAGCUUGUUGGCGGGGUGAUGGCCUACCAAGGCGGUGACGGGUAGCCGGCCUGAGAGGGUGGGCGGCCACACUGGGACUGAGAUACGGCCCAGACUCCUGCGGGAGGCAGCAGUGGGGGGUAUUGCACAAUGGGCGGAAGCCUGAUGCAGCGACGUCGCGUGAGGGAUGGAGGCCUUCGGGUUGUGAACCUCUGUUUCCGGUGGUGAAGGCCCUGUCCGUGUGGUGGGGUUGACGGUAGCCGGGGAUGAAGCGCCGGCUAACUACGUG
Molecule: ribosomal RNA, 500 nt
Filed under: uncultured bacterium
Lineage: Bacteria
Description: partial 16S ribosomal RNA
Rfam family: Bacterial small subunit ribosomal RNA
Source: RNAcentral